RNAcentral lists this ribosomal RNA (1134 nucleotides) under Triticum aestivum (bread wheat). RNAcentral's name for it is "partial small subunit ribosomal RNA". Lineage: Eukaryota; Viridiplantae; Streptophyta; Magnoliopsida; Poales; Poaceae. The record is from RNAcentral.
AUGGCAACAAAGCAUCACGUAUCGGCCGUGAUCUUUGAUCUGGACGACACCCUCCUGGACACUGAGAGUGUAACAAGGGGCGUCUUGAACGAUUUCCUGGCGACAUAUGGGAAGUCAGCAGACGCGGAGAAGGAGGAGGGGAGGCUGGGGCAGAGUCACAGCGAGUACGCGGCUGGGAUCAUCGCAGAUUACGGGCUGCCGCUCACUCUCGAAGAAUACUCAGAGGCAAUAUUCCCCUUGAAUCUCAAAAGCUGGCAGAAGGCAAAACCACUUCCAGGGGUCAGAAGACUUCUCAAGCAUCUUCACAAGAAUGGAGUACCGCUGGCACUUGCUUCCAACUCCGAGAUGAGAAUUAUCGGUCAAAAAAUUCUGAAACUAGAAGAACUGCAAGACUGUUUUUCCGUGGUUCUUGGUGUUGAUCAGGUUCCUCGUGGAAAACCUUGCCCUGACAUAUAUCUGGAAGCUGCAAACAGACUCGGUGUAAAUCCAUCAUCAUGCUUGGUCAUAGAAGAUUCUCUUGUUGGAGUCCGGGGUGCCAAGGCUUCUGGGGCAAAGGUAGUCGCUGUUCCGUCACUCCAAACUGAAAGGCAACAUUACUCAAUUGCCGAUCGUGUCCUCUGUUCACUGCUGGACUUCCAUCCUGAACUAUGGGGUCUUCCUCCAUUUGACGAUCGCAUUCAAGGUGCAUUGCCCAUGGAUCCAUUGUACUCAAAUGCUCACAUAGGAAAUGUGAUCUCAAACAAUAUUCAUAUGAUAGUAGCAGGUGAACAUACCUACGACUCUGUUCCUGGCCAAUUAUCGGGAAUUGUUUUUGGUCGGGCCAAGUUAGAACCACAUGGAGUAUCUAAGGUGGUUGUCAGCAUUGGGUGGGACAUUUCGCCCCCGGCUGUUGGAAGAGUGAUGCACAUAUGUUUUCUUGAUCCCUGCUGCAAUGCCAAAUCAGGGGAGCCACUUGAGCUACUGUUAGUUGGUUACAUCCGGGAGCUCCAAAGCACGGGAAGUACUACAUCUCAAGCACUAAGCAUUACUGAGGAAGACCAAAGCAUCGCGAGGGAUGCACUGGACCUCCCAGCUUUCUCAGAACUACAGGAGCUCACGCUCUUCAGUGCGCCUGGGAAGGAACCAUUUGAAUGA